RNAcentral lists this ribosomal RNA (1313 nucleotides) under Bacillus sp. (in: firmicutes). RNAcentral describes it as "bacterial SSU rRNA". It matches the Rfam family "Bacterial small subunit ribosomal RNA", at positions 56 to 1353 of the family's 1533-position model. The record is from RNAcentral. Lineage: Bacteria; Bacillati; Bacillota; Bacilli; Caryophanales; Bacillaceae.
UGCAGUCGAGCGGACAGAUGGGAGCUUGCUCCCUGAUGUUAGCGGCGGACGGGUGAGUAACACGUGGGUAACCUGCCUGUAAGACUGGGAUAACUCCGGGAAACCGGGGCUAAUACCGGAUGCUUGUUUGAACCGCAUGGUUCAAACAUAAAAGGUGGCUUCGGCUACCACUUACAGAUGGACCCGCGGCGCAUUAGCUAGUUGGUGAGGUAACGGCUCACCAAGGCAACGAUGCGUAGCCGACCUGAGAGGGUGAUCGGCCACACUGGGACUGAGACACGGCCCAGACUCCUACGGGAGGCAGCAGUAGGGAAUCUUCCGCAAUGGACGAAAGUCUGACGGAGCAACGCCGCGUGAGUGAUGAAGGUUUUCGGAUCGUAAAGCUCUGUUGUUAGGGAAGAACAAGUACCGUUCGAAUAGGGCGGUACCUUGACGGUACCUAACCAGAAAGCCACGGCUAACUACGUGCCAGCAGCCGCGGUAAUACGUAGGUGGCAAGCGUUGUCCGGAAUUAUUGGGCGUAAAGGGCUCGCAGGCGGUUCCUUAAGUCUGAUGUGAAAGCCCCCGGCUCAACCGGGGAGGGUCAUUGGAAACUGGGGAACUUGAGUGCAGAAGAGGAGAGUGGAAUUCCACGUGUAGCGGUGAAAUGCGUAGAGAUGUGGAGGAACACCAGUGGCGAAGGCGACUCUCUGGUCUGUAACUGACGCUGAGGAGCGAAAGCGUGGGGAGCGAACAGGAUUAGAUACCCUGGUAGUCCACGCCGUAAACGAUGAGUGCUAAGUGUUAGGGGGUUUCCGCCCCUUAGUGCUGCAGCUAACGCAUUAAGCACUCCGCCUGGGGAGUACGGUCGCAAGACUGAAACUCAAAGGAAUUGACGGGGGCCCGCACAAGCGGUGGAGCAUGUGGUUUAAUUCGAAGCAACGCGAAGAACCUUACCAGGUCUUGACAUCCUCUGACAAUCCUAGAGAUAGGACGUCCCCUUCGGGGGCAGAGUGACAGGUGGUGCAUGGUUGUCGUCAGCUCGUGUCGUGAGAUGUUGGGUUAAGUCCCGCAACGAGCGCAACCCUUGAUCUUAGUUGCCAGCAUUCAGUUGGGCACUCUAAGGUGACUGCCGGUGACAAACCGGAGGAAGGUGGGGAUGACGUCAAAUCAUCAUGCCCCUUAUGACCUGGGCUACACACGUGCUACAAUGGACAGAACAAAGGGCAGCGAAACCGCGAGGUUAAGCCAAUCCCACAAAUCUGUUCUCAGUUCGGAUCGCAGUCUGCAACUCGACUGCGUGAAGCNGGANUCGCUAGUAAUCGNNNAUCAGC